UACGAAGGGGGCUAGCGUUGCUCGGAAUCACUGGGCGUAAAGCGCACGUAGGCGGAUUCUUAAGUCAGGGGUGAAAUCCUGGAGCUCAACUCCAGAACUGCCUUUGAUACUGAGGGUCUUGAGUUCGGGAGAGGUGAGUGGAACUGCGAGUGUAGAGGUGAAAUUCGUAGAUAUUCGCAAGAACACCAGUGGCGAAGGCGGCUCACUGGCCCGGUACUGACGCUGAGGUGCGAAAGCGUGGGGAGCAAACAGG
This 253-nucleotide ribosomal RNA is filed under the name uncultured bacterium. RNAcentral describes it as "partial 16S ribosomal RNA". It matches the Rfam family "Bacterial small subunit ribosomal RNA", at positions 524 to 776 of the family's 1533-position model. The record is from RNAcentral.